Long non-coding RNA from Ictalurus punctatus (channel catfish), 555 nucleotides. The record is from Ensembl. Lineage: Eukaryota; Metazoa; Chordata; Actinopteri; Siluriformes; Ictaluridae.
CCAAGCCAAGUUCUGUCCGAGAUCGAAGAGACGGCCUCUCACACCAAGUUCCUGUCUGAGGUCGAACAGGUGACCUCCCAUGCCCAGUUGCUGUCUGAGGUCGAACAGGCGACCUCUGAAGCCCAGUUCCUGUCUGAGGUCGAAGAGAGAACCUCUCAAGCCAAGUUCCUGUCUGAGCUCGAGGAGAUGACCUCUCAAGCCAAGUUCCUGUCUGAGGUCAAAGAGACAGCCUCUCACGCCAAGUUCCUGUCCGAGGUCAAAGAGACGACCUCUCAAGCCAAGUUCCUGUCCGAGGUCAAAGACACGACCUCUCAAGCCAAGUUCAUGUCCGAGGUCGAAAAGACGGCCUCCCAAGACGGGUUCCAGUCUGAGUUCGAUGAAGUGACCUUUCACGCCAAGUUUCAGUCUGAGAUUGACGAUGUGACCUUCCACGACAAGUUCCAGUCUGAGAUCGACGAGGCGACCACCCACACCAAGUUCCAGUCCAAGGUCUCUAACAUGGACAACCAAGUUAUGCUCACACCUGAGUCUGCUGACACGACCAACCAAGUUCUC